This 305-nucleotide ribosomal RNA is filed under the name uncultured bacterium. Its description in RNAcentral is "bacterial SSU rRNA". It matches the Rfam family "Bacterial small subunit ribosomal RNA", at positions 333 to 636 of the family's 1533-position model. The record is from RNAcentral.
UGCAGCCUACGGGAGGCAGCAGUGAGGAAUAUUGGUCAAUGGUCGGGAGACUGAACCAGCCAAGCCGCGUGAGGGAGGAAGGUACAGAGUAUCGUAAACCUCUUUUGUCAGGGAACAAAGACUGGGACGCGUCCCCGGAUGAGUGUACCUGAAGAAAAAGCAUCGGCUAACUCCGUGCCAGCAGCCGCGGUAAUACGGAGGAUGCGAGCGUUAUCCGGAUUUAUUGGGUUUAAAGGGUGCGCAGGCGGUCUGUUAAGUCAGCGGUCAAAGCCCGGGGCUCAACCCCGGCCCGCCGUGGAACCUGG